UGACCUUGCUCAGGCUCCUCUUCCUACCUAGAUGGCGAGAGAAAACCUUCAGGACCUCCCCUCCCUGUCCCCUCCAGGAAUCGCCUUUCUGUGUCCGCAUAGCGCAAGGGUCCGAAGUCUGACUCCCUGGGCCGUGUCCUGAUUUUCUCUUCACCACUUGGGCUUCCAGAGGUUUGGUUUUAGCUCCAUUUUCUUGUGUCUCCAACCCUGGGCUCUCUGUUGCUCUCAGAGCAGGCCGUGGCCACGACUCCGUUUCCAUGGCAACACUAGAGCCAUUCAACUGCCACUGUCAUGACAGAAGGAAGACUAACUAAGGAGGACUACUGGCUUGCAAAUGACUGGCAGAAGCCCUGACAUCUGCGGUCUUGAAGAAAUUCCAGAAGACCAAAACCAAGUGGAUGUAUCUCUUUUUCAUACAGGCCCGAGAGGGGGCAGAACCAGGUUCUUCCCCACCCAGGAUGGGAAGAAAUGGACACCAGGAUGGAGCAGGCCAGCCCCGGGCAACACCGUGGACUGGGUUCCGGUUGAAGAAGGAAGCACUUUUUUAUGGAGGCAUCUUUUGGAAAUGGCAGACAGAAACCUUCACCCCAAAAAACAGACCAUGUCUUCUAUAGGACACAGGAAGAAAUGGGAAGACAGACCUGCAUGUCAAUCCUGCCUGGGUGACCUUAAGCAAGGUAAUAUUCCACUACGUGGAUAUACUACAUUUUGCUUAUUCAUUCAUAUGUUGCUGGACAUUUCUACUUUGGGGCUACUAUGGACAAUGCUUCUAUGAAUAUUUGCAUACAAGUUUUUGUGUGGACAUGUGUUUCCAAUUCUUCUGUGUACACACCUAGGAGUGGAAUUACUAGGUCACUUAAUAACUCUGUGUUGAAUUUUCCAAGGAACUGCCAAACUUUUCCAAAGCAGCUGUGCUAGUUUACAUUCCCAUUAUCUGCAUAUCUUUUUUUUGGAGAAAUGUCUACUCAAAUCUUUUGCCCAUUUUCAACUGGCUUAUUCGUCUAAUAUCGUACGGUAAGAGUUGUAGACAAUAAAGUCUUGAAUGAGAAAAAAAUGAGGAACUUGCGCUACUAAGUAUAAAAGCGUAGAGCAGCAUUCUAUAAAGCUACUGUAAUUCAGAAAGUACCGUCAAUCCUCAUUAUUUACAGACUCUGAUCUGUGAACCUGCUUACUCUCUGAAAUUUAUUUGUAACCCAAUCAAUUCCUGUGGUGAUGCAGAGGGGCGAACUCUAGCUGAGGUGGAAGGAGACAACACUCUACUUUUUGCUUCACCUUCGAACUGUAAACGAGUGUCCUUUUGGCUACUUGGUGCCACGGUUUUCGCAUUCUUAUUGUGGUUUUGCAGUUCAGAAUGGCUCCCAAGGAUGCUGUUUGUGGGGACGGGGUAUAUGGGAACUCUCUGCACUUUCUACUUAGCUUUGCUAUGAACCCAAAACUCAACAAAUAGUUCACUAAUUAAAAAAUGGCCUCGGAGCACAGUGCUAAAGUACUCUCUAGCACUCCUAAGUGCAAGCAGGCUGUGAUGUGCCUUCCAGGGAAAAUACAUGUGUUGGGUAAGCUUUGUUUAGGCAGGAGUUAUAGUGCUUGUUGACGUGAAUUCAGUGUUAAUGAAUCAACAAUAUAUAUUAAAUAAGGUAUCUUUAAACAAAAAUAUACAUAAAACAAAGUCAGGUAUUCAUCACUUGAUGAAAAUGUGCCCAGAGACUCUCAGGAACCUAACUCUGAUUUUCCCUAGGGGCAAUGGGUCAGUAAUUAGUAAUUACUAAUUAGUAACUAGUGCAAACACUAAUUCAGUGUCUGCAGGGACUUCAUAAAACAUAACUACAGAAAAUAAUGAGAAUUGACUGUAUCUUCUUAUAAAGCAACAAAAAGUUUGCAUAGACUUUAUGAAACAUAACUAGUGCAAAUAAUAAGAACUAUGUUCUUAUAAAGUCACAGGCAAAAAGUUUAAUAACACAGAAUAACACAGAAUGCAGUAACAAAUCCAGCACAGACACACACACACACACACACACACACACACACACACACACACACGUGAGAAUAUUUGAUUUGUGAUAAAGGUCAAUUUCAAUUCAGUGAAGAAAGGAUGAAUGGAUGAAUGCAAUAAAUGAUGUUGGGACAAUUCACAGUAAUUCACAGAAAAAUAAAUAUAAAUGGUCUAUAAAACAUAUGAAAAGAUAAUCAACUGCAAUAAUAGUAAAAAAAAAUACAUCUUAAAAUAAGAUACCAUUCUUUAGUUUUCUAACUGGCAAAACAGUGACAAUAUCCAGUCCUGGUGAGCAACAUAUACUGUUAAUGAAAGUUGGUAUAAGUUUAUGAAGACAAUCUGGGUAGUAUUUAUUAAAAUUGAAAAUGCCCUUUAACCCAGCUAUUCUACUUCUAAGAAUCUCUUACAGGAAUAAUAGUAUAUGUAUAUAUGGGGGCACCUGGGUGGCUCAAUCAGUUAAGCAUCCAACUUUGGCUCAGGUCAUGAUCUCAGUUUGUGAGUUUGAGCCCUGCAUCAGGCUCUCUGCUGUCAGCACAGAGCCUGCUUCAGAUCCUCUGUCCUCCUCACUCUCUGCCUCUCCCCCAUUUGCAUGCACACUCUCAAAAAUAAAUUAUUUAAAAAAACUUUUUAAAGGUACGUAUAUAUGAAUGUCCCAGGUGUAUUUUAUAACAGCAAAAAAACCCAAAAAAACAAAAAACUAGAAAUUUAAAUUAUGGAAUAGUCACAGAAUGGAACAGUAUAAGAUCCUGAAAAAUGUGUAUACUGGGUUGAAUAGUGUCCCUCUCAAAUUUGAGUCUUUCUGGAACCUCAGAACGUGACCACAAUUGAAAACAGAAUCUUUGCAGAUGUAACUAAUUAAGAUGAAGUCCUACUGAAGUAGAAUGGGCCUUAAACCUAAUCUAAAUGGUAUCCUUAUGAGAAGAUAAGAGGAUACAAAAGACAUAUGGAGGAAAGAUGGCCAUGUAAAGAUGGUCGCAGAGACUGGGGGGUUCUGCUAUCAUGGCCAGGGGAUACCAAGGAUUUCUGGCAAUCACCAGAAGCAGGCAAAGAAGAAUCUUCCCUAGAGGUAGUACAGUCUUACUGAGAUCUUGAUUUAGGGGAGAGAGGCAGAGGGAGAAAGAGAGAAUCCUAAGUAGGCUCCAAGCCCAGCACAGAGCCCAACACGGGGCUUGAUCCCAUAACCCUGGGAUCAUGACCUGAGCAGAAAACAAGAGCCAGAUGCUCAACCAAUGGAGCUAUCCAGGCACCCCAGAUUUACUGUUGUUUUAAGCCACCCAACUUCUGGUAGUAGCUGGAAGUAUUUACGCAAGCUACAUAAGACAUUUCUCUAUGUGUGCGUGUGUACCCAAAAGUAUAUCUAUCUGUACAGCCAUGGAAAAACUCAGAAGGAUGUAUAUCAAAUUAUUACCAGGGGUUGGUUUGGUGGAGGAGUUAAAGGGAUCAAGAGAAAUUUUACUUUAUUAAAAGUGUAUUAUUUUUAUUUUUAUUUUUAUUUUAUUUUUAAUUU
Long non-coding RNA from Felis catus (domestic cat), 3497 nucleotides. RefSeq lists it as uncharacterized. NCBI's taxonomy places the organism in Eukaryota, Metazoa, Chordata, Mammalia, Carnivora, Felidae. The record is from RefSeq and is a predicted model, not a curated record. The transcript has 4 exons.